CCCGCUGAACUUAAGCAUAUCAAUAAGCGGAGGAAAAGAAACUAACAAGGAUUCCCCUAGUAACUGCGAGUGAAGAGGGAAGAGCUCAAAUUUGAAAUCUGGCAGUGUUUUGCUGUCCGAGUUGUAAUCUAGAGAAGUGCUGCCCGUGCUGGACCAUGUACAAGUCUCCUGGAAUGGAGCGUCACAGAGGGUGAGAAUCCCGUCUUUGACAUGGACUGCCAGUGCAUUUGUGGUGUGCUCUCAAAGAGUCGAGUUGUUUGGGAAUGCAGCUCUAAAUGGGUGGUAAACUCCAUCUAAAGCUAAAUAUUGGCGAGAGACCGAUAGCGAACAAGUACCGUGAGGGAAAGAUGAAAAGAACUUUGGAAAGAGAGUUAAACAGUAUGUGAAAUUGUUGAAAGGGAAACGCUUAAAGUCAGUCGUGUCGGCCAGGGAUCAACUCAGUAUUAUCUGCUGGGUGUACUUCCUGAUCUGAUGGGCCAACAUCAGUUUUGACUGCUGGAGAAGGAUAGAGGGAAUGUGGCACCUUCGGGUGUGUUAUAGCCUCUCAUUGUAUGCAUCGGUUGGGACUGAGGAACUCAGCACGCCGCAAGGCCGGGUUUUUAACCACGUUCGUGCUUAGGAUGCUGGCAUAAUGGCUUUAAUCGACCCGUCUUGAAACACGG
Molecule: ribosomal RNA, 662 nt
Filed under: uncultured fungus
Lineage: Eukaryota; Fungi
Description: eukaryotic LSU rRNA
Rfam family: Eukaryotic large subunit ribosomal RNA
Source: RNAcentral